This 253-nucleotide ribosomal RNA is filed under the name uncultured bacterium. Its description in RNAcentral is "partial 16S ribosomal RNA". It matches the Rfam family "Bacterial small subunit ribosomal RNA", at positions 524 to 776 of the family's 1533-position model. The record is from RNAcentral.
UACGGAGGGUCCAAGCGUUAUCCGGAAUCAUUGGGUUUAAAGGGUCCGUAGGCGGUUUUGUAAGUCAGUGGUGAAAGCCCAUCGCUCAACGGUGGAACGGCCAUUGAUACUGCAAGACUUGAAUUAUUAGGAAGUAACUAGAAUAUGUAGUGUAGCGGUGAAAUGCUUAGAGAUUACAUGGAAUACCAAUUGCGAAGGCAGGUUACUACUAAUGGAUUGAUGCUGAUGGACGAAAGCGUGGGGAGCGAACAGG